RNAcentral lists this long non-coding RNA (490 nucleotides) under Trifolium pratense (red clover). RNAcentral describes it as "long non-coding RNA (TPRA_LNC013553)". Lineage: Eukaryota; Viridiplantae; Streptophyta; Magnoliopsida; Fabales; Fabaceae. The record is from RNAcentral.
AGUUUUGAAGACAUUAAAAAUAGGAAAAUGUCGAUUGUUACAAAACAACCAGCAUACAAAAUGCAAGAGCAUAAUUUUAAAGUCAUGUACCAUUAUGUUUCACUACAUGACUCCAUUCACCACACAUCUUUUGUAUACGAGGUUGCUGCAAAUCAAUAAGUCAUAAUAUUUUCAUUGACAGAGAUGAAUGAUACAAUACUUGUUUUAAGAAAAUUAAACCCCUCAUGACAAACAUUAUAUAUCUCAGCCUUAAAUUUCUGAUGCUUAAAUGUGCCUUUCAAUUUUCAUAACUGCAGUGAAGAUAUUAUUUAGACAGAAAUCCAAGGAUAAAAAUCUCCCAACCACUACUCCCACAAAGGAAAGUAUUUUUGCAAGUUCGAGUAUUCUAAAAGCACGAAGACAAGAACAAAAUUUCACCAUUUCUAUCCCCUAAAGGAAUUUUUCAAGCUUCCGGGAUUUAAUAGGUUCUGGCGGACGGAAGGUCUUCAAU